Molecule: ribosomal RNA, 380 nt
Filed under: uncultured eukaryote
Lineage: Eukaryota
Description: partial 18S ribosomal RNA
Rfam family: Eukaryotic small subunit ribosomal RNA
Source: RNAcentral
CAAUAGCGUAUAUUAAAGUUGUUGCAGUUAAAAAGCUCGUAGUUGGAUUUGUGGCGUACGGUGUGUUCCGGGCACUUGUUGUCUGAGUAACCUGCUGUUGCCAUCCUUGGGUGGAACCUGUGUGGCAUUAGGUUGUCGUGCAGGGGAUGCCCAUCAUUUACUGUGAAAAAAUUAGAGUGUUCAAAGCAGGCUUAUGCCGUUGAAUAUAUUAGCAUGGAAUAAUGAGAUAGGACUUUUUUGCUAUUUUGUUGGUUUGCGCAAAGAGGUAAUGAUUAAUAGGGACAGUUGGGGGUAUUCGUAUUCCAUUGUCAGAGGUGAAAUUCUUGGAUUUACGAAAGACGAACUACUGCGAAAGCAUUUGCCAAGAAUGUUUUCAUUAA